This 717-nucleotide long non-coding RNA is filed under the name Olea europaea subsp. europaea. Lineage: Eukaryota; Viridiplantae; Streptophyta; Magnoliopsida; Lamiales; Oleaceae. The record is from RNAcentral.
ACACCUUUCAUGUUUUGGAAGAAGUCAAAUUCGUAACACAAGGCAGCCAAAAUUAUCGUGCAAAGUCCAGCUUGUUACCUGCCGGAUACAGCUUUACCUGUGAAGCAGCACUUAUUGUUUUUGUCAUAUCUGGAGUUAUAUAGAUCCAAUGAACCUGAUAUUUGAACCAAUGGAAAGCUAACUCAAGUGGUAAUAAUUUGUCUGUUGAUCAUAAAUCCAAAUUCUCUGUACAAUGUAUCUGAAAAUUGGCAUCAAGUUGCAUGUUCCAGCUGUCUUGAAGCUGGACAGAAACAAGUUGCAUUGCCUACUUGAAUUUUGGAUGUUUCUUUGCCUAUAAAAGGGGACCUUGGCCACGAUUUUGAAGCAUCAAUUCUCUCCACCAUCUUCUAGUUUCCUUCAUUUUCUUUGUAACAUUUCACUAUGUAUUUCUAAACAUUUAGCUAGAGCUAAGGGUGAAACUUUGAUGAAUGUUUAGUAUUGUCUUUGAUCUUUCAUUUUGUUCUUCAAUGUUCAUCUUCUUACUUGGUUGAAGUUUGUGUUCUACAAAUGGUUUUGGUUUGUUAAAGACUUUGAUUUAUUGUUGACAAUUUUGGCACAAUAAAUGCUUAGAUAAUCUCUACAUACCAACAACUUAUUUUGACAUAUUCUCUCAAACAAUUAUCAAGAUCUAUCUUUCAAUAUAUUUGUGAUCAAUGUUUUAUCUUCCAUAUGAGAUCA